GCAGAGCUACGGCCAUGCCCGUAGGUGCGAUUGAGCCGGGGAACGCCCCACAGGUGGGGCGAGCAACAUCGGC
RNAcentral lists this non-coding RNA (73 nucleotides) under Achromobacter xylosoxidans NBRC 15126 = ATCC 27061. RNAcentral describes it as "Burkholderiales-2 RNA". It matches the Rfam family "Burkholderiales-2 RNA". The record is from RNAcentral. Lineage: Bacteria; Pseudomonadati; Pseudomonadota; Betaproteobacteria; Burkholderiales; Alcaligenaceae.